AGAGACAGCAGCCGCCGCGGUAAUACGAAGGGGGCUAGCGUUGCUCGGAAUCACUGGGCGUAAAGGGUGCGUAGGCGGGUCUUUAAGUCAGGGGUGAAAUCCUGGAGCUCAACUCCAGAACUGCCUUUGAUACUGAAGAUCUUGAGUUCGGGAGAGGUGAGUGGAACUGCGAGUGUAGAGGUGAAAUUCGUAGAUAUUCGCAAGAACACCAGUGGCGAAGGCGGCUCACUGGCCCGAUACUGACGCUGAGGCACGAAAGCGUGGGGAGCAAACAGGAUUAGAUACCCCUGUAGUCCCUGUCUCUUAUAC
Molecule: ribosomal RNA, 309 nt
Filed under: uncultured bacterium
Lineage: Bacteria
Description: partial 16S ribosomal RNA
Rfam family: Bacterial small subunit ribosomal RNA
Source: RNAcentral